GACGAACGCUGGCGGCGUGCUUAACACAUGCAAGUCGAGCGGUAAGGCCCUUUCGGGGGUACACGAGCGGCGAACGGGUGAGUAACACGUGGGUGACCUGCCCUUAGCUCUGGGAUAAGCCUGGGAAACUGGGUCUAAUACCGGAUAUGACUCCAUGACGCAUGUUGUGGGGUGGAAAGCCUUGUGCGGCUAGGGAUGGGCCCGCGGCCUAUCAGCUUGUUGGUGGGGUGAUGGCCUACCAAGGCGACGACGGGUAGCCGGCCUGAGAGGGCGACCGGCCACACUGGGACUGAGACACGGCCCAGACUCCUACGGGAGGCAGCAGUGGGGAAUCCUGCGCAAUGGGCGAAAGCCUGACGCAGCGACGCCGCGUGAGGGAUGACGGCCUCGGUUGUAACCU
This 400-nucleotide ribosomal RNA is filed under the name uncultured bacterium. Its description in RNAcentral is "bacterial SSU rRNA". It matches the Rfam family "Bacterial small subunit ribosomal RNA", at positions 28 to 432 of the family's 1533-position model. The record is from RNAcentral.